Molecule: ribosomal RNA, 439 nt
Filed under: uncultured bacterium
Lineage: Bacteria
Description: partial 16S ribosomal RNA
Rfam family: Bacterial small subunit ribosomal RNA
Source: RNAcentral
CUACGGGUCGCAGCAGUGAGGAAUAUUGCACAAUGGGGGGAACCCUGAUGCAGCAACGCCGCGUGGAGGAUGACGCAUUUCGGUGUGUAAACUCCUUUUAUAUGUCAAGAAAAUGACGGUAGCAUAUGAAUAAGCACCGGCUAACUCCGUGCCAGCAGCCGCGGUAAUACGGAGGAUGCAAGCGGUACUCGGAAUCACUGGGCGUAAAGGACGCGUAGGCGGGUUGGAAAGUCAGGUGUGAAAUCCUACAGCUUAACUGUAGAACUGCACUUGAAACUUCUAAUCUAGAGUAUGGGAGGGGGAGAUGGAAUUAGUGGUGUAGGGGUAAAAUCCGUAGAUAUCACUAGGAAUACCUAAAGCGAAGGCGAUCUCCUGGAACAUUACUGACGCUAAGGCGUGAAAGCGUGGGGAGCAAACAGGAUUAGAUACCCCCGUAGUC